GUCGCUACUACCGAUUGAAUGGCUCAGUGAGGUCUCCGGACUGGCUCAGGGAGGUUGGCAACGACCACCCAGGGCCGGGAAGCUGAUCAAACUUGGUCAUUUAGAGGAAGUAAAAGUCGUAACAAGGUUUCC
RNAcentral lists this ribosomal RNA (132 nucleotides) under uncultured Basidiomycota. RNAcentral's name for it is "partial small subunit ribosomal RNA". It matches the Rfam family "Eukaryotic small subunit ribosomal RNA", at positions 1675 to 1804 of the family's 1831-position model. The record is from RNAcentral. Lineage: Eukaryota; Fungi; Basidiomycota.